CCCGCUGCGAUCAAUGCUUAUUGUGGUAUC
This 30-nucleotide small RNA is filed under the name Bombyx mori (domestic silkworm). Its description in RNAcentral is "ovarian small RNA-4789". Lineage: Eukaryota; Metazoa; Arthropoda; Insecta; Lepidoptera; Bombycidae. The record is from RNAcentral.